RNAcentral lists this transfer RNA (63 nucleotides) under Rattus norvegicus (Norway rat). It matches the Rfam family "tRNA". From Rfam's summary of the family: Transfer RNA (tRNA) molecules are approximately 80 nucleotides in length. Their secondary structure includes four short double-helical elements and three loops (D, anti-codon, and T loops). The record is from Rfam by way of RNAcentral. Lineage: Eukaryota; Metazoa; Chordata; Mammalia; Rodentia; Muridae.
GGGGAUUUAGCUCAGUGGUAGAGCGCUUGCCUAGCAGGCGCUAGGCCCUGGGUUCAGUCCCCA